RNAcentral lists this ribosomal RNA (341 nucleotides) under uncultured Pseudomonadota bacterium. Its description in RNAcentral is "bacterial SSU rRNA". It matches the Rfam family "Bacterial small subunit ribosomal RNA", at positions 29 to 351 of the family's 1533-position model. Lineage: Bacteria; Pseudomonadati; Pseudomonadota. The record is from RNAcentral.
AACGAACGCUGGCGGCGUGCCUAACACAUGCAAGUCGUACGAGAAAUCCUGGGCAACUGGGAGAGUAAAGUGGCGCACGGGUGAGUAACGCGUGGGUAACCUACCCUUGGAUUUGGGAUAACUUCGCGAAAGCGGGGUUAAUACCGAAUGAUAUUCCGAUUUCUAAGGGGGUCGGAAUCAAAGGUGGCCUCUGCAUGCAAGCUACCGUCUAUGGAUGGGCCCGCGUACCAUUAGCUAGUUGGCAGGGUAAUGGCCUACCAAGGCAACGAUGGUUAGCUGGUCUUAGAGGAUGGCCAGCCACACUGGAACUGAGACACGGUCCAGACUCCUACGGGUGGCAG